Long non-coding RNA from Canis lupus familiaris (dog), 939 nucleotides. RefSeq lists it as uncharacterized. The transcript is spliced from 3 exons. Lineage: Eukaryota; Metazoa; Chordata; Mammalia; Carnivora; Canidae. The record is from RefSeq and is a predicted model, not a curated record.
GAUGAAUUCCCAACCACAGAUGUGCAUUGAGAACGGGGACCACGGGCCUUUGCGGCCUCCCGCAUCUGACCGGCAGGCGCUCUAGGUGCCCCCAUCAGAGGAGCAUCUCUGCAGGAGAUGCAGCGUGAGCCCACUCCUCCUAACAGCCCCGUGAGGCAGGCUUUACGAUGAUGAGCCCCACUGUAAAGACGAAGGGACUCAAUGUAGGGAGCUCGGGUCACUUUGUUCCUCACCCUAAGGGAUUUACCGAGCAGGCAGGUCAAGAAAGACACCACAAAUCCAGAGGCUCUGAGGUAACACCCUGCACAUAAUCACGGGGAGAAAGGAGGACUUGGGGGUACCUUCAUUCAGCCGUUCAACAAACCCUGGACUCAGCGUGAGGUAACCCCCAUUCUCGGUUGGGUUCUCCCCAGGACUCCUGUGUCCCACACACCCCUGGUGCUGAUUUGCUGAUGCCCUGGAACUAUGCAGCACGUGGACAGACCGCCGUGUGAUGGUAAAUCUAACAGGCUCGGAGGAGGGGAGAACCCUGACUUGCAGUGUUUGCCCGUUUCCACGGGGCGCAUGUUCUCACCGCGGCCGAUUUCAAGCUCCCAACGUGACGGGACUGAGCGCAGUCAGGAGGAGGGCUCAGCAGCUCGUCACGUCGUUUCCGUGGAUUUCCGCGCUGCGGGUACAACAGACCUGCUGCCUACCUGGCUCUGUUUUUUGCUUGGAGAUUUCUGUGUGUCAUCUGGGCUGGUUUCCUGCGGCUCGAUUCUGUGCCAAACACGAGCCUGAUUUUGAAUGGAUGAUGUCAGGCUUGAAGGUAUUUUGGACGUUCACAACAUCCCCAAGAGCAACAAAAUAAAUCAAGUGGUAGCGGAUUAUCACCCAAAGCAAAAAAUAAAUAUCCGUGAGUCCAUACUGAUAUAAUGAUUGAAUGAAUUAACACACGGG